UUCUGUACGAUAUUUGUUUUGUUAUGCUCUGAAAUGCUUCAUUCACUGAUAAUAUGCUUCGAAAUGUUCCAUAUGUCGUUGAUAUGCUCCGGAACAUUUCAUCUGCCAUUGAUAUGCUCUAAUUACUCUGUGCUCCAUUUGCUAUGAACUGAUAUGUUCUGAAAUGUCCUAUCUGCCAUUGAUAAGCUCCGAUAUGUUUCCUUUGUUACUGAUAUGCUCCAAUUACUCUGUGCUCCAUUUGCUAUGAACUGAUAUAUUCUGAAAUGUCCUAUCUGCCAUAAAUGUGAAUUAUCGAGUGAUGCGAUAUAUGAUUUUAAACUGCACAGGUUUUAUGGAUGUGAAUAUGAAUAGAAUGUUUUUCAGUGUCCUCAAACGUUAGUUUGGAUCCUGGAUUGGUCUGUGAUGAAAAUUUUAAAAAUCAUGGAUAUUUUGAGGGGCGUGACAC
Molecule: long non-coding RNA, 445 nt
Filed under: Musa acuminata (dwarf banana)
Lineage: Eukaryota; Viridiplantae; Streptophyta; Magnoliopsida; Zingiberales; Musaceae
Description: long non-coding RNA (MACU_LNC008667)
Source: RNAcentral